AUAUCAAUAAGCGGAGGAAAAGAAACCAACAGGGAUUGCCUCAGUAACGGCGAGUGAAGCGGCAACAGCUCAAAUUUGAAAUCYGGGGUUUUCAGCUCCCGAGUUGUAAUUUGAAGAGGAUGUUUCGGUUGCGGCUAUAGCUCAAGUUCCUUGGAACAGGACGUCAUGGAGGGUGAGAAUCCCGUACCUGGCUGCUGGCUUGCUUCCAUGUGAAACUCCUUCGAAGAGUCGAGUUGUUUGGGAAUGCAGCUCAAAAUGGGUGGUAAAUUUCAUCUAAAGCUAAAUAUUGGCGGGAGACCGAUAGCGCACAAGUAGAGUGAUCGAAAGAUGAAAAGCACUUUGAAAAGAGAGUUAAACAGUACGUGAAAUUGUUGAAAGGGAAGCGCUUGCAAUCAGACUCGCUUUCGGUUGAUCAACGUUCCUUUUGGUUCGUGCACUCUGCCGUUUGCGGGCCAGCAUCAGCUGGGGCGGUGGGACAAAGACAGCAGGAAUGUGGCUCUCUUCGGGGAGUGUUAUAGCCUGUUGUGCAAUGCCACCAGUCCCGGUUGAGGUCCGCGGUUCGCCUAGGAUGCUGGCUUAAUGGUUGUAAGCGACCCGUCUUGAAACACGGACCAAGGAGUCUAACAUCUAUGCGAGUCUUUGGGUGUCAAACCCAUGGGCGUAAUGAAAGUGAACGGAGGUGGGAGUCUUCGGAUGCACCAUCGACCGAUCCUGAUGUUCUCGGAUGGAUUUGAGUAGGAGCAUAGCUGUUGGGACCCGAAAGAUGGUGAACUAUGCCUGAAUAGGGUGAAGCCAGAGGAAACUCUGGUGGAGGCUCGCAGCGGUUCUGACGUGCAAAUCGAUCGUCAAAUUUGGGUAUAGGGGCGAAAGACUAAUCGAACCAUCUAGUAGCUGGUUCCUGC
This 902-nucleotide ribosomal RNA is filed under the name Orbilia sp. RNAcentral's name for it is "partial large subunit ribosomal RNA". The record is from RNAcentral. Lineage: Eukaryota; Fungi; Ascomycota; Orbiliomycetes; Orbiliales; Orbiliaceae.